UUGAUAAAUACAUAUUUUCACAUUAAUAUUUUAAUUUUGCCUUAAUUCAUUGAAUGGAUUGAUUAUAUUUUUAUUGCAAUCAUGAACAAAUUUGGUAGCAAAUUAACACUAUACAGUAUACCCUAUAAAAGAUGUAGACAGGUACACAGUAGCUUAUAUUAAAAUUUGCUUCAUAAUAAUAAGCACACCAUUCACAAUAAACAUUUUGAUUGAAAAAUAUAUAAUUCUGUUACAAAAAUGAGCUCAACAAUUUCACUAUUU
Non-coding RNA from Cinara cedri, 261 nucleotides. The record is from the annotation of a GenBank genome assembly. Lineage: Eukaryota; Metazoa; Arthropoda; Insecta; Hemiptera; Aphididae.